CAGAAUGUAGCUUAAUAUAAAGUGUAUUUUUUACAUAAAUGAGAUAAUUAAAAUUCAUUUUGA
This 63-nucleotide transfer RNA is filed under the name Busonia albilateralis. Its description in RNAcentral is "tRNA-Val". Lineage: Eukaryota; Metazoa; Arthropoda; Insecta; Hemiptera; Cicadellidae. The record is from RNAcentral.